GACGAACGCUGGCGGCGCGCCUAAUACAUGCAAGUCGAGCGAGAACUAGGACUUCGGUCCUGGGGACAGCGGCGAACGGGUGCGUAACACGUGAGCAACCUGCCCCGAAGACCGGGACAAGCCGGGGAAACCUGGUCUAAUACCGGAUGCCCUCACCUGCAUCGCAUGGUGUGGUGAGGAAAUGGAUUCCGCUUCGGGAUGGGCUCGCGGUCUAUCAGCUUGUUGGNGGGGUAACGGCCCACCAAGGCGACGACGGAUAGCUGGUCUGAGAGGACGAUCAGCCACACUGGGACUGAGACACGGCCCAGACUCCUACGGGAGGCAGCAGUAGGGAAUCUUGCGCAAUGGGGGAAACCCUGACGCAGCGACGCCGCGUGCGGGAUGAAUGCCUUCGGGUUGUAAACCGCUUUCAGCAGGGACGAAAUUGACGGUACCUGCAGAAGAAGGCCCGG
RNAcentral lists this ribosomal RNA (452 nucleotides) under uncultured bacterium. RNAcentral describes it as "bacterial SSU rRNA". It matches the Rfam family "Bacterial small subunit ribosomal RNA", at positions 28 to 496 of the family's 1533-position model. The record is from RNAcentral.